GCUAUAAUAUCAUAUCCCAACUUAUUGGCUCAGUCUGUUGUCCUACUAUCUUUAGUUUCAAUAGCUUCACAUCUAAUCUAAGUGAAGCUACAACCAUUAAAUGUAUGCUAAACGUAAGGUGCUUAAACUCUUUUCUCCUUGCAUUGUUUCCUUCAUGAAAUUAAGCAUCAUGUACUUAGUUUUGAAUUAUUUAUUUUUAAGACUCAACCAGAUUAACAAGUAUAACUAGAAUUGUGUUGGAUUUCUUUUUCAAUCUCAACAUUACAGGACCAGAAGAACAAAAACAGAGAAAAGAAAGAGUCCCAUCCCCCUCCCUGAAUUUGUUGAAUAACAAUCAAGCAUAAGACACCAG
Molecule: unclassified non-coding RNA, 352 nt
Filed under: Hevea brasiliensis (rubber tree)
Lineage: Eukaryota; Viridiplantae; Streptophyta; Magnoliopsida; Malpighiales; Euphorbiaceae
Source: RNAcentral